This 75-nucleotide transfer RNA is filed under the name Caudoviricetes sp. Its description in RNAcentral is "tRNA-Lys". It matches the Rfam family "tRNA". Rfam says of the family: Transfer RNA (tRNA) molecules are approximately 80 nucleotides in length. Their secondary structure includes four short double-helical elements and three loops (D, anti-codon, and T loops). Lineage: Duplodnaviria; Heunggongvirae; Uroviricota; Caudoviricetes. The record is from RNAcentral.
GUGCUCGUAGCUCAGUUGGUCUAGAGCAACGGAUUUUUAAUCCGUGGGUCCUGGGUUCAAAUCCCAGCGGGCACA